GAUGGCUCAAUGGGUAAGAGUGCUGGCUACUCUUCAGAGGACCUGGGUUCGAUUCCCAGCAUCC
RNAcentral lists this transfer RNA (64 nucleotides) under Mus musculus (house mouse). Lineage: Eukaryota; Metazoa; Chordata; Mammalia; Rodentia; Muridae. RNAcentral also lists the same sequence under 1 other name. The record is from Rfam by way of RNAcentral.